GAUGAACGCUAGCGGGAGGCCUAAUACAUGCAAGUCGAGCGGUAGAGUGACUUCGGUUACUUGAGAGCGGCGGACGGGUGAGUAACGCGUACACAAUCUACCUUUAAGAGGGGAAUAGCCCUGGGAAACUGGGAUUAAUGCCCCAUGGCAUCACGAGACGGCAUCGUUUUGUUGAUUAAAGCUGAGGUGCUUAGAGAUGAGUGUGCGUCUGAUUAGCUAGUUGGUGCGGUAACGGCGCACCAAGGCGACGAUCAGUAGGGGGCGGUGAGAGCGUGGACCCCCACCACGGGUACGUGAGACACGGACCCGACUCCUACGGGAGGCAGCAGUAAGGAAUAUUGGUCAAUAGGAGGGAAACUACUGAACC
This 367-nucleotide ribosomal RNA is filed under the name uncultured bacterium. Its description in RNAcentral is "bacterial SSU rRNA". It matches the Rfam family "Bacterial small subunit ribosomal RNA", at positions 28 to 389 of the family's 1533-position model. The record is from RNAcentral.